CCUACGGGGGGCUGCAGUGAGGAAUAUUGGUCCAUGGACGGAAGUCUGAACCAGCCAUGCCGCGUGCAGGAAGACGGCUCUAUGAGUUGUAAACUGCUUUUGUACAAGGGUAAACCUGAAUACGUGUAUUCAGCUGAAAGUACUGUACGAAUAAGGAUCGGCUAACUCCGUGCCAGCAGCAGCGGUAAUACGGAGGAUCCAAGCGUUAUCCGGAUUUGUUGGGUUUAAAGGGUGCGUAGGCGGAUUGAUAAGUGAGGGGGGAAAUGUCCGAGCUUAACUCGGGAACUGCCUCUAAUACUGUUGAUCUAGAGAGUAGAUGCGGUAGGCGGAAUGUAUGGUGUAGCGGUGAAAUGCUUAGAGAUCAUACAGAACACCGAUUGCGAAGGCAGCUUACCAAUCUAUAUCUGACGUUGAGGCACGAAAGCGUGGGGAGCAAACAGGAUUAGAUACCCGGGUAGUC
This 460-nucleotide ribosomal RNA is filed under the name uncultured bacterium. Its description in RNAcentral is "partial 16S ribosomal RNA". It matches the Rfam family "Bacterial small subunit ribosomal RNA", at positions 338 to 795 of the family's 1533-position model. The record is from RNAcentral.